RNAcentral lists this ribosomal RNA (465 nucleotides) under Vreelandella stevensii. RNAcentral's name for it is "partial 16S ribosomal RNA". It matches the Rfam family "Bacterial small subunit ribosomal RNA", at positions 338 to 795 of the family's 1533-position model. The record is from RNAcentral. Lineage: Bacteria; Pseudomonadati; Pseudomonadota; Gammaproteobacteria; Oceanospirillales; Halomonadaceae.
CCUACGGGGUGCAGCAGUGGGGAAUAUUGGACAAUGGGCGAAAGCCUGAUCCAGCCAUGCCGCGUGUGUGAAGAAGGCCUUCGGGUUGUAAAGCACUUUCAGUGGGGAAGAAAGCCUUGGGGCUAAUACCCUCGAGGAAGGACAUCACCCACAGAAGAAGCACCGGCUAACUCCGUGCCAGCAGCCGCGGUAAUACGGAGGGUGCGAGCGUUAAUCGGAAUUACUGGGCGUAAAGCGCGCGUAGGCGGUCUGAUAAGCCGGUUGUGAAAGCCCCGGGCUCAACCUGGGAACGGCAUCCGGAACUGUCAGGCUAGAGUGCGGGAGAGGAAGGUAGAAUUCCCGGUGUAGCGGUGAAAUGCGUAGAGAUCGGGAGGAAUACCAGUGGCGAAGGCGGCCUUCUGGACUGACACUGACGCUGAGGUGCGAAAGCGUGGGUAGCAAACAGGAUUAGAUACCCGAGUAGUC